CGCCGUCUUCGUUUCUCUUUCUUCUCGGGACGCGCCAUUGUCAUGUGCCGCCAUUGUCAUGUGUCAGUAUCAUCCAUGUGGGGUUUUGCGCGGCUCUUUGUGCCGCUCUGACAUUUGGGUCGGCGCGGCGCGGCGUUAUCGCUGCUCUUUCAUGUGGCGGGGCCUGUAGCUCAGUCGGUUAGAGCGCACCCCUGAUAAGGGUGAGGUCGGUAGUUCGAAUCUACCCAGGCCCACCAAUGCCGUUCACAGCGGUGUUGCAUGAUAAAAAUCAUGUCAUGUAAGGGGCCAUAGCUCAGCUGGGAGAGCGCCUGGUUUGCAACCAGGAGGUCGUCGGUUCGAUCCCGUCUGGCUCCACCAUUAUGUUUGCGUGCGGUUCAUCCUUUAAGAUGCAAUUUAUCGACUGUCAAACAUGCUUUGUGUUUUAAACGCAAGGUGCGCGCUAGGCGGUGUUUAUCGCUUUAAUUCGCGUGUGUUCAGCGCGAAGGUUUUUGCUUGAGAUGGCAAUGUGUCACCGAGAAAUAUGAUUUGCUUCGUUCGUGAGAAACAAUUCCAUGGGUGAGGCCGUUUACUGACAUCGUUGAAAGAAGUUUUGUCCGCAUGCCGUUAUCAAAGCGGUGUUCAUGGGCGUGACCGUUUGGUUGCGUGCUUGUGUGUCGGGCAAAUCUCAUGUUCUUUUAAGUAAAGAAGGUCUUUCUAUGUCGAUAGAACGCUUCCGUUUUAUGGGGCGGUGAAUAUCGAUAAUGAGAGUAAUCAAGUGCCUUAAGAGCAUUUGGUGGAUGCCUAGGUGGUAAGAGGCGAUGAAGGACGUGGUACGCUGCGAUAANCCNNGGANAGUUGCAAAAAACUUUGAUCCNCGGAAUUCCCAAUGGGGAAACCCGG
Molecule: unclassified non-coding RNA, 879 nt
Filed under: uncultured bacterium
Lineage: Bacteria
Description: partial 16S-23S ribosomal RNA intergenic spacer
Rfam family: Bacterial large subunit ribosomal RNA (bases 749-879)
Source: RNAcentral